GAAGGAGGCGGCAAAAGGAAAAAGGGAGAUCAGGAAGCAGCAGGGUCCGCUGGCAGAGCCUCUACGGGGAGGGGAGAAAGGAAGCAAGAAGGGUGGGAAAGCGAAGAAACAGGCCGGCAGGCGGACCACCCUGAGGCGCCAGGAGUGGAACAAAAGCGACCUUUCUUCUUUCCUCACUUCAGCUUCGCGGCUGGUUCUUCACACCAUCAGGCCCCUCAUCCAAAAGUCUACCUGGAGGCGGAAUAGCAGCCGCCACGGCCGGGCCCUUCCCUUCCUUGAGCCAGGCCGGAGUCCGUGCUUCAGCUUCCCCCUCACCCCCUUCCCUUCUUUUCUCCCUCUCUCCGCCCUUACUUUGCCCUGCCGCGGCCUGCACNAGCCCUUCGAGGGACGCUUCCGAUUCCCGGGGUCUGCCGAGGUCCGGCCGACGCUACGGUCCGCGCUUUCCCCCUUCUCCCUCCGUUGGGCCGUUCUUACCUGAGCGCGCCAGGCCUGCCUGGCUGCCUGGGCCUCUCCUGAGGAACUAACGGCGGGAGCGCGGCCAAAAGCGCUGCAGCCGAGUCCGGAGGAGGAAGAAGAAGCCGCACUCCGGGGCCUGCCGGGAUCUUUUCUGUCUCCUCACUCUCAGCCGCUUCUGGCCCUCCCUCUCUUGGCCUAGCCGAAGAAAGGAAAGCGGGGAGUGAGUGGGGGAGGAACCAGUCGAGUUACCUCAGAAACAGAGACGGAAGGGGGAGAGAACGGGUUAAAAAACCCGAGAGAAGCGGGCACGAGUCUCCGUUGCUUUAAGUGCUCCCGGCCGCCGCCGCCAUCACGCUGCCGCAGCCGCUUACUAGUACUGCCUCUUUCUUUCCCCCCUCCCCUCGUCCGAUGGAAACCCCUGGCGUGAUGUCAGCCCUGGGACAGAGCGGGAAGGGGAGGGAGGAGUCAGGAGAAAGGAAUAAAGCGAGCGAGGAAGCGGCCGGGUCGGCCUUGUGUGUGCUUUCUUCUGCUGCAGCAGGCAACCAGGGUGGCGAGCGCGCGACGAGGUGGAGGCGGCGGCGAAAUGACGAGCCAGUAAGUCUUCCUGCCCUUCCACUGGAGCUACUUCAGUUCAGAAUAACUCAAGUUGAAAGGAUGCACACACUCUAACCUCUAUCACUAGAUGGGGAAUAGAAGGUGCCAGAGAGGUUGCAUUUGGUGUCCAUUAAAAAAGGAAAGACUAAUCUGAACCUAUCUCAGCCAUUGAUGGACCACAGAACUAAGCACAAACUUAUAUUUUGAAUGUAUCUGUCAUGUAUAUUCACUGGGUUAUUGUGUACCGCAUAUUCACUGUGUAUCUGUUAUGUAUAUCCAUUGAGUUACCAUGUAGUUCAUAUUCACUGAAUUACUUUAUAUUUUAUGUUCAUUGAGUUAUCAUGUAUCUAUCAUGUAUAUUUACUGAAUUAUGUUUUAUAUGCAUGAAUGCACUCAUGUUACUGUACUACUGUGUUUCUACAGUGUAUGUAGUUAGUGUGUAGCAUGGGGACAGAUCAAAGGGAGGGGGGAAAGUAGUUUGCAUAAGUAGAGGCCAUGGCCAAAUGGCAUACAGUUCAAGGCAGGGCAGUUGUUUCUGCUUGUAAGGAACUUUCACACUAACAAGAUGUAAGGAGGAGAAGAGUAUUUUUGUUAGUGGUUAAAGGUUGGAAUCACUUUCUGUAAUUAUCAGAUUCCUU
RNAcentral lists this long non-coding RNA (1688 nucleotides) under Salvator merianae (Argentine black and white tegu). RNAcentral's name for it is "lncRNA (ENSSMRG00000012768.1)". The record is from RNAcentral. Lineage: Eukaryota; Metazoa; Chordata; Lepidosauria; Squamata; Teiidae.